UAUAUAAGUAUUGGCUUUAGUCCUACUGUUUCCCCUGCAACUUCCUUGCAUUAUUCAACUAGAAAGGAAGGGCAAAAGUUAAGAAGCUGCAUAGAAGAAUAAUGUGCAUCAGUGCAACGCAGAGUAUUCUGUUCCAUCAAAUUCAGACUUCCAAGAACAGGAGACGAUCAAAAAGAUCCAAACUUCAAGUUCUAAGGCUUACCAGGAGGAGAUGUGAAGAGAAGCUGGGGAAAGACAUUGAGCUGAAGAAUCUGCAGCUAUAUAUGAAGAAUCAGACCAUAAUCAAAGAGAAUGAUAAGCUGAGAGAGAAAGCCAAUAUCCUUCAUCAAGAGAACAUAGCUUUAAUGACUGAGUUUCAGAAAAAAUUCCCACAUUUGAAUCAGAGAAAAUGAUGAGAAUCAUAAGAGCUUGACAUGGUUGAUUAUCAUCAGGGUUGCUAGUCUUGCUUGUUUCAUUGCUUUAGUACCUUUACUUU
Molecule: long non-coding RNA, 475 nt
Organism: Cucurbita maxima (winter squash)
Lineage: Eukaryota; Viridiplantae; Streptophyta; Magnoliopsida; Cucurbitales; Cucurbitaceae
Exons: 2
Source: RefSeq, a predicted model, not a curated record